UGGGGAAUCUUCCGCAAUGGACGAAAGUCUGACGGAGCAACGCCGCGUGUAUGAAGAAGGCCUUCGGGUUGUAAAAUACUGUUGUUGGGGAAGAACUUACUAUAUGUAAACAAUGUAUAGUAUUGACGGUACCCAACGAGGAAGCCCCGGCUAACUACGUGCCAGCAGCCGCGGUAAUACGUAGGGGGCAAGCGUUGUCCGGAAUCAUUGGGCGUAAAGGGCGCGUAGGCGGGCAUACAAGUCUGAUGUGAAAGUGCGGUGCUUAACGCCGUAAAGCAUUGGAAACUGUGUGUCUUGAGGACAGGAGAGGAAAGUGGAAUUCCACGUGUAGCGGUGAAAUGCGUAGAGAUGUGGAGGAACACCAGUGGCGAAGGCGACUUUCUGGACUGUAACUGACGCUGAGGCGCGAAAGCGUGGGGAGCGAACAGG
RNAcentral lists this ribosomal RNA (429 nucleotides) under uncultured prokaryote. RNAcentral describes it as "bacterial SSU rRNA". It matches the Rfam family "Bacterial small subunit ribosomal RNA", at positions 355 to 776 of the family's 1533-position model. The record is from RNAcentral. RNAcentral also lists the same sequence under 1 other name.